AUUGAACGCUGGCGGCAUGCCUAACACAUGCAAGUCGAGCGGAGCGGCGGACGGGUGAGUAAUGUCUAGGAAUGUGACUGGUAGCGGGGGAUAACGACGGGAAACGGGCGCUAAUACCGCAUACUAUUAGAUGAGCCGAGGUCGGAUUAGCUAGUUGGUGGGGUAACGGCCUACCAAGGCGACGAUCCGUAACUGGUCUGAGAGGAUGAUCAGUCACACUGGAACUGAGACACGGUCCAGACUCCUACGGGAGGCAGCAGUGGGGAAUAUUGGACAAUGGGCGAAAGCCUGAUCCAGCCAUGCCGCGUGUGUGAUGAAGGUCUUCGGAUUGUAAAGCACUUUAAGUUGGAAGGCGUUACCUACAGAAUAAGCACCGGCUAACUUCGUGCCAGCAGCCGCGGUAAUUC
This 407-nucleotide ribosomal RNA is filed under the name uncultured bacterium. RNAcentral describes it as "partial 16S ribosomal RNA". It matches the Rfam family "Bacterial small subunit ribosomal RNA", at positions 30 to 526 of the family's 1533-position model. The record is from RNAcentral.